GACGAACGCUGGCGGCGUGCUUAACACAUGCAAGUCGAACGAUGAAGCCGGAGCUUGCUCCGGUGGAUUAGUGGCGAACGGGUGAGUAACACGUGAGCAAUCUGCCCUUGACUCUGGGAUAACUGCGGGAAACUGUAGCUAAUACCGGAUACGACACCUUGGGGCAUCCCAGGGUGUGGAAAGAAUUUCGGUCAAGGAUGAGCCCGCGGCCUAUCAGGUAGUUGGUGAGGGAAUGGCUCACCAAGGCGACGACGGGUAGCCGGCCUGGGAGGGGGACCGGCCACACGGGAACUGAGACACGGUCCAGACUCCUACGGGAGGCAGCAGUGGGGAAUAUUGCACAAUGGGCGAAAGCCUGAUGCAGCAACGCCGCGUGAGGGAUGAAGGCCUUCGGGUUGUAAACCUCUUUUAGCAGGGAAGAAGCGAAAGUGACGGUACCUGCAGAAAAAGCACCGGCUAACUACGUGCCAGCAGCCGCGGUAA
RNAcentral lists this ribosomal RNA (483 nucleotides) under uncultured bacterium. RNAcentral describes it as "partial 16S ribosomal RNA". It matches the Rfam family "Bacterial small subunit ribosomal RNA", at positions 28 to 523 of the family's 1533-position model. The record is from RNAcentral.